GGAACACAGGUAUGUAGAUUUAUUAAAGCUCCUUCUGCUUCUUCUUUUUUUUAUUUUUUUCAACAAUUUUUAAAAUUUCUGUACCUAUUUACUUCAUUCCCGGGCAACCAUUAAUUGUGCGUUCAUUUUGUGUGUUUUCUUGCAAGCAUGCCAAAAUUUAAAUUGAUAUCAGUCACAUGAUGUCUGUUUGCUAUUGAUCCUACAUUCUUUGUAUCUGUGGCUAGAUUAUGUUAAUGCACAGUUCCCCUAGUUAAUCUGUUCUUGUAGUUAUGGCAUGUUCUGGUGAACUCUAAAAUCAUUGAAUGGCAGUUGUUUAUGUCAAUACUUGUUCUUUGUUACGUUCCUUGAACCUAAAUGCACAUAUGUCAAUGCAUGCUGGGGAAAUUUCUGUGCUUUUUAACGCUAUAUGUUUAUUAUUUUUCUUUAAAAUACUUUUGAGAUAUGCUAAAUCAUGAAUAGAAAUUUGCUCUCACCAAUUUCUGGUGCUAAUUAAUCUCUCAUCAAACAAUACUGAGAAAAAAAGAACUUUGCAAAUGUGAGGAUUAGCAAUUUCAGGCACACUGAAGCAAUUAAAGCAUAAUUUAUUAGAGUGAGAAAAGAAUCAUCAAAUUAGCUUCAGAAAUGUUGAAAUAAAUGUACAGAAAGUUACCUUUAUAUGAUUGGACUGAAUCAAAAGUAAAGUUACCUUUGAUAUUAUUAGACCAAACCUUCUGUCAGGCUAUUGUUUAUUCACUUGUUCAAUACAAGUCAUAGAGCAUGGUGACAGAAGUGCAUACUCUUUGUAGGCUGACAUUUUGUGGUUGAAACUGUAGUCUCAAUGCAUCACAUCUGGGAAAAUAUCUGCAUAAUAGCUUGGAUUUGCCUUCUCAUGUGCUCUAGGCAUAUAUUGAAAAUUUAGCGUCUUCUCUUUCAGAAAAUACUAUUUUAACAGAGUUUUUUAGAUCAAGAUCCUCUUCCUUUUUGGUGUCUAUUCGGAUCUUCAUCUUAGCCUGCUUCUUUGAGAACUUCAAUCCAGCUUAUUUAGAGAAAAAACAAUGUAUUUUUUUGCAGGUUCUGUUGUCCAGAUUAACC
RNAcentral lists this unclassified non-coding RNA (1071 nucleotides) under Hevea brasiliensis (rubber tree). The record is from RNAcentral. Lineage: Eukaryota; Viridiplantae; Streptophyta; Magnoliopsida; Malpighiales; Euphorbiaceae.